ACCCCGGCUCCUUGGGAUAGAUGGGGAAGCUGAGGCCCAGAAGGGGGCUGAGACCACCUCCCAGUUUCCCCAGUGAGGUGGCGCCUGAGCCACGGCCAGGCCCGGCCUCCUUCCACCCGGCCCUGCUGUGCGCGCGGCGGGUGCUGACCUGGCGAGGCCGGACAGGGGACCAGGUCGGGGUGACCGUCACUGACACCUGGACAGUCCUCGUUGUGUUCGGGGUGGGAAGCCCACGGAUCUUCAGAGGGAAGGCACCAGGAGUGGACUGCGGGACACCCAGAGUGGACUGCAGGAGGACACAGAAGCUAGGCUGAAGCGGGAGGAAGCUGGGAACCCUGCACGGGGCCACUGCGCACUGGGACUCGUUACUGGUCCCCAAGACUCAGGGAGAAUGGGGAAGAGUGUAUCACAGCCAUUGGGAACUUUCUUCACCCAUCAAAGCCUCAGGGCUGAAGCAUCCUGAACAAGAACUCAGGAGAGUGAAAGAAACAGUUACCUGUCGGCUGCAGCUGGUACCAGCUCCCCACCCCGUACAGAGACCGAAGCGUCCUCUCUCUCCCCAUCACCCAGCACCAGACUCUGCCCCGCGACCUCAGCCUGCACCUGCUUCCUGGCUCCAUCCAGCCUUCCAGCCUCACUAGAUCAUCAUGGGCCACUGGCCAACACACAGGGCAGUGCCGAGCCCAGGCCGUGGUCACACAUGGCUGGGUUAGUAGCUGAAAACAUUGUUUUUCACUGGCCUCACAGUAAUGGCACCUGCCCCCAUUUUCUGUGAUUGAAUUUUUGGAUCCUGCUACCAGGUUAUGAUAGAUUUUAUGGUAUGUCUCAAGAUAUUGAGAUAAAGGUAAUAAAACAGCUAUAAAGUCCUGG
RNAcentral lists this long non-coding RNA (870 nucleotides) under Homo sapiens (human). Its description in RNAcentral is "HSALNT0350647". The record is from RNAcentral. Lineage: Eukaryota; Metazoa; Chordata; Mammalia; Primates; Hominidae.